Long non-coding RNA from Macaca mulatta (Rhesus monkey), 532 nucleotides. RefSeq lists it as uncharacterized. The record is from RefSeq and is a predicted model, not a curated record. Lineage: Eukaryota; Metazoa; Chordata; Mammalia; Primates; Cercopithecidae.
UUCCUUGAGUCUGAAAAACAAAACAAGAAUCAGCAGUGUUCCAGGCAAAAGUAAAAAGGAUUACUUCAGUUUUCUAUUAGUUCAGUCCUUUCCAUUAAUUCUUGUUUUGCUUGAUAUUCAUGAACAUGUUAGCUCUUCAUGAGUCCUGUAUGUUUUUCCUUUAUUCCAGUGUCACAAUCUUCAAAGGUAUCAGAAACCUGCAUUUGAGAGCACCUGUUAAAGUUCUAUAGCUGAUUAAACACCAUCUUCUGAAGAUCAAAACAAGACAACAAUUGUCUAAUGUAAGCACCAUAAAUACAGGACAGUGUCUUCUGCUGUAAUUUUGGAGCCUAGCACAGGUCCUGGCACAUGGGUCUUGCUCUGUCACCCAGGCUGGAGUGCGGUGGCAUGAACAUGGCUCAGUGCAGCCUCGACCUCCUGGGCUCAGGUGAUCUGUCCACCUAAGCAUCCCGGGUAUGCUACUACGCCUAGCUAAUUUUUUGUAUUUUUUGUAGAGACCGAGUUUCACCAUGUUGCCCAGGCUGGUCUUGAA